GUAUCCUUCCAAACCAAAAUUCGGUGCACAUCUUGAACUCUCUUUUCUACGACAACUCAGCCUACUGCUUUUUACAGAAAUGGAACAAACCCAUUUGAGUUCUCUCAUCAUACACUUAAACGAUUUACUCUUAACUCCCUAAGUGUUCAUCCACGUGAAAGAGAGUAAAGAGAACUCUAGUUUUCAUACUUUUGCAAACAGAGAAACAUCAGAAAGAACCCAUAGCCAACAUUGUUACAUGUCUUACCUUAAUUUCCUACUCAUCAAGUGACCUUCCUAAAGCUACGUUCAUGCUACUUAUGUGUGAAAUCUUAAGAUCGUUUGUUGUUUCGUUGAGAACCGCUACGUGGCUUAGAGUUUGGUUAGGAAGAAAAGUUCUUGAGUUUUAAGUCAUUUCUCUCUUGCAAGCUCUUUUGUGGAACUAGAAGUCUAGUUAGAAUGGUGUGGAACUAAAAGCCUCAUUUAAGAAUAAAGCGUGCAAGGUACCCAUGAACAUGAAGAGAUAUGUUUGCUUUGGUGUUUUGCUUGAAGCGCGACGGGGACACAAAUUGGGUUUUUGAUCGAAUUGUAAUUUGAAAAGUGAUUUGAAGGAUGUUUAUGUUACGAAUAUUUGUAUUGGUUUUUAUUAGGAAUUUAUUAUUAAUGAGGAAAAAAAAUAAUAGUGAUUUUCUAAAAAUGAAAAUGAAUUAGGCGUAAUGUCUUAGACCAAAAUUCAGGACGUUACAGUUGGGGUGUGACAGAUGUCCAUAUUUAAAUUUAUUCGUUCAGAGAUUUGAAGAUAGAAUCUUUGAGUUGACGAUCCGAAGAGACUUAAAUACAAAGUACACAAUUUUUGACCUAAGAUGUUGUGAAAUGCUCGUGAUGCAAGUAUGAAUGCAGGACGACAAAGAUGAUUUGAUUGGGAAAGAAAAACAACAUGAUAUCCAAAUUCGUUGAAGAAAGGGAUCCGACUCCGGGGGUAAUUUAGUUUCACUAGGAAAAUGUUGUCUACUAUCAUAUCAGUAGUUAUAUCAAUUGCUGUAUUUAAUAUUAAAUAUCAAUUAAGACAAACUUACUUUUUAAUUAAA
This is a long non-coding RNA of Medicago truncatula (barrel medic), 1067 nucleotides long. RefSeq lists it as uncharacterized. The record is from RefSeq and is a predicted model, not a curated record. NCBI's taxonomy places the organism in Eukaryota, Viridiplantae, Streptophyta, Magnoliopsida, Fabales, Fabaceae. The transcript has 3 exons.